GAUGAAGAACGUAGCGAAAUGCGAUAAGUAGUGUGAAUUGCAGAAUUCAGUGAAUCAUCGAAUCUUUGAACGCACAUUGCGCCCUUUGGUAUUCCUUAGGGCAUGCCUGUUCGAGCGUCAUUUAAACCUUCAAGCUCAGCUUGGUGUUGGGUGACUGUCCGCCGCCUCCGGGCGGUCGGACUCGCCUCAAAUUGAUUGGCGGCCGGUACUUUGGCUUCGAGCGCAGCAGAAACGCGAACUCGAGGCCGUCGUCCUGGCUCCAGAAGCUAUCUUCACAAUUUUGACCUCGGAUCAGGUAGGGAUACCCGCUGAACUUAAGCAUAUCAAUAAGCGGAGGA
This 338-nucleotide unclassified non-coding RNA is filed under the name soil metagenome. RNAcentral describes it as "partial contains 5.8S ribosomal RNA, internal transcribed spacer 2, and large subunit ribosomal RNA". The stretch from base 1 to 120 matches the Rfam family "5.8S ribosomal RNA", at positions 35 to 154 of the family's 154-position model. The record is from RNAcentral.